CGGCCUGAGAGGGUGAACGGACACACUGGAACUGAGACACGGUCCAGACUCCUACGGGAGGCAGCAGUAGGGAAUAUUGCUCAAUGGGGGAAACCCUGAAGCAGCAACGCCGCGUGGAGGAUGAAGGUUUUCGGAUUGUAAACUCCUUUUGUUAGAGAAGAUAAUGACGGUAUCUAACGAAUAAGCACCGGCUAACUCCGUGCCAGCAGCCGCGGUAAUACGGAGGGUGCAAGCGUUACUCGGAAUCACUGGGCGUAAAGAGCGCGUAGGCGGGAUAGCAAGUCAGAUGUGAAAUCCUAUGGCUUAACCAUAGAACUGCAUUUGAAACUGUUAUUCUAGAGUAUGGGAGAGGUAGGUGGAAUUCUUGGUGUAGGGGUAAAAUCCGUAGAGAUCAAGAGGAAUACUCAUUGCGAAGGCGACCUGCUAGAACAUAACUGACGCUGAUGCGCGAAAGCGUGGGGAGCAAACAGGAUUAGAUACCCUGGUAGUCCACGCCCUAAACGAUGAAUGCUAGUUGUUGUGGAGCUUGUCUCUGCAGUAAUGCAGCUAACGCAUUAAGCAUUCCGCCUGGGGAGUACGGUCGCAAGAUUAAAACUCAAAGGAAUAGACGGGGACCCGCACAAGCGGUGGAGCAUGUGGUUUAAUUCGAAGAUACACGAAGAACCUUACCUAGGCUUGACAUUGAUAGAAUCCGCUAGAGAUAGUGGAGUGCUAGCUUGCUAGAACUUGAAAACAGGUGCUGCACGGCUGUCGUCAGCUCGUGUCGUGAGAUGUUGGGUUAAGUCCCGCAACGAGCGCAACCCUCGUCCUUAGUUGCUAACUAUUCGGUAGAGCACUCUAAGGAGACUGCCUUCGCAAGGAGGAGGAAGGUGAGGAUGACGUCAAGUCAUCAUGGCCCUUACGCCUAGGGCUACACACGUGCUACAAUGGGGCGCACAAAGAGGAGCAAUACCGCGAGGUGGAGCAAAUCUCUAAAACGUCUCUCAGUUCGGAUUGUAGUCUGCAACUCGACUACAUGAAGCUGGAAUCGCUAGUAAUCGUGAAUCAGCCAUGUCACGGUGAAUACGUUCCCGGGUCUUGUACUCACCGCCCGUCACACCAUGGGAGUUGUAUUCGCCUUAAGUCGGGAUACUAAAUUGGUUACCGCCCACGGCGGAUG
RNAcentral lists this ribosomal RNA (1159 nucleotides) under uncultured Helicobacter sp. Its description in RNAcentral is "bacterial SSU rRNA". It matches the Rfam family "Bacterial small subunit ribosomal RNA", at positions 288 to 1468 of the family's 1533-position model. The record is from RNAcentral. Lineage: Bacteria; Pseudomonadati; Campylobacterota; Epsilonproteobacteria; Campylobacterales; Helicobacteraceae.